GUCACUUUUACAGCGCGCUAAAAUUGUGGAAAUAACUGCUCCGUACAAUAGUUAGCUAAUUCAUUUUCCUGGUGUAAGAAGCUGAAUUAAACCCUUUAAGGCAGCGUUUAGGAUGAUUUAGUAUUGCCCGCAGUCAGGGUGAUAUUGAAGGAGCCCCAGAAGAGACUAAAAAAUAUUGAACGCUCAAGCAAGCAAAUAAAUGGGCACACAGACCCAACACCUACCUCACAGCCUCAAUCAUCUGAAAAGGACUCAGGUUGCUGGGGCACUCAGCUGAACUGUAAGAGCAUGCCGGUGGCUGCCCCCAAACUGACUCUGACAGCCAAGGAAAGGGAGUCACUACAGCUGGAGCUGCGGGCAGACAGACAUACCCUACAGCUGGAGCUGCGGGCAGACAGACAUACCCUACAGCUGGAGCUGCGGGCAGACAGACAUACCCUACAGCUGGAGCUGCGGGCAGACAGACAUACCCUACAGCUGGAGCUGCGGGCAGACAUACCCUACAGCUGGAGCUGCGGGCAGACAGACAUACCCUGUUGUCCCCUCUGCCAAAGCCAGCCAACACACGUCAAUACCCCCUGGCCUCUCCAAUGCAGACAGGGAAAGAACACCCAGAGCAGCUGCCGGAGGAGCUCUUUGAGCCCCUAACAGCCUUUGCGCCCUCCAAGCUAUGGUCUCCUGCAGUGGGUUAUCCUCAUCAUACAGACAGGCAGGCAGCAGGGCCCAGCAGCUCAGACAGACCUUCACCAAGAGGCUGACCUCUGCAUUUGAUGAGGUGGGUGAUGCAGAGUAGCCGGUUGUGGGAUAUUUGUCUCUUGCCGUGGAAGCGGCGAUGAGUUCACCGCAUGCCAAAAGGGGAGGCGCUGGCAAGGGAGAGAUCGCAGGACGCGCCGCCAGUUCCUUUGUCACACCUUCCAGGCAGAACGAAGGGACAACUCUCCUGAGGGAGAGGGCUUCCAAGAGUACCAUGCCACAGGAUCUGCCUUCUCCUGACGAGCACCAGCCCCAGGUUGGUGGUGGCGUAACGUCUGCAACAGACCCCGCCAGUCUGUGGCCCGCUGGACAACGCUCCUCAUUAGGGUCUGGCUCUGGAGGAGGAGAGGAUGAAGAAACCAGAUCAGGUCUCAAAGGACAGGCAGAGGGCGGUACGAUAGAAGAGACCGCCGUCGGCACCACCACUGCCAAGAAAUCUCGAGUGAGGGCCAGACAGGGCCGGGGAGGAGGGGAUGUGGAGGAGGCAAGAGUGUUAACACAGCCACCGCAGGCCGAUGGUGAUGAGCUCGGAUUGGAGAAGAAGGGUACAAAGAAAAGGGGUGGAAAAAGACAAAGGAAUCCUGACACAGAUGGAGAUAACCCUGCAGGCACGGAGAAAGAGGAGUGGGUGGUGAAAAAGACAAAGGAAUCCUGACACAGAUGGAGAGAACCCUGCAGGCACGGAGAAAGAGGAGUGGGUGGUGAAAAAGACAA
Oncorhynchus tshawytscha (Chinook salmon) is the source of this 1467-nucleotide long non-coding RNA. RefSeq lists it as uncharacterized. The transcript has 4 exons. The record is from RefSeq and is a predicted model, not a curated record. NCBI's taxonomy places the organism in Eukaryota, Metazoa, Chordata, Actinopteri, Salmoniformes, Salmonidae.